AGAGCGAACGCUGGCGGCAUGCUUAACACAUGCAAGUCGCACGGGCGGGGGCAACUCUGUCAGUGGCGGACGGGUGAGUAACGCGUAGGUAUCUAUCCUUGGGUGGGGGACAACUGUGGGAAACUACAGCUAAUACCGCAUGAUAACUGAGGUUUAAAGGCGCAAGUCGCCUGGGGAGGAGCCUGCGUACGAUUAGCUAGUUGGUGGGGUAAAGCCUACCAAGGCGACGAUCGUUAGCUGGUCUGAGAGGAUGAUCAGCCACAUUGGGACUGAGACACGGCCCAAACUCCUACGGGAGGCAGCAGUGGGGAAUAUUGGACAAUGGGCGCAAGCCUGAUCCAGCAAUGCCGCGUGUGUGAAGAAGGUCUUCGGAUUGUAAAGCACUUUCGACGGGGACGAUGAUGACGGUACCGUAGAAGAAGCCCGGCUAACUUCGUGCCAGCAGCCGC
RNAcentral lists this ribosomal RNA (449 nucleotides) under uncultured bacterium. RNAcentral's name for it is "SSU rRNA". It matches the Rfam family "Bacterial small subunit ribosomal RNA", at positions 26 to 518 of the family's 1533-position model. The record is from RNAcentral.